GACGAACGCUGGCGUCGUGCUUAACACAUGCAAGUCGAACGGAAAGGCCCUGCUUUUGUGGGGUGCUCGAGUGGCGAACGGGUGAGUAACACGUGAGUAACCUGCCCUUGACUUUGGGAUAACUUCAGGAAACUGGGGCUAAUACCGGAUAGGAGCUCCUGCUGCAUGGUGGGGGUUGGAAAGUUUCGGCGGUUGGGGAUGGACUCGCGGCUUAUCAGCUUGUUGGUGGGGUAGUGGCUUACCAAGGCUUUGACGGGUAGCCGGCCUGAGAGGGUGACCGGCCACAUUGGGACUGAGAUACGGCCCAGACUCCUACGGGAGGCAGCAGUGGGGAAUAUUGCACAAUGGGCGGAAGCCUGAUGCAGCAACGCCGCGUGCGGGAUGACGGCCUUCGGGUUGUAAACCGCUUUCGCCUGUGACGAAGCGUGAGUGACGGUAAUGGGUAAAGAAGCACCGGCUAACUACGUGCCAGCAGCCGCGGUGAUACGUAGGGUGCGAGCGUUGUCCGGAUUUAUUGGGCGUAAAGGGCUCGUAGGUGGUUGAUCGCGUCGGAAGUGUAAUCUUGGGGCUUAACCCUGAGCGUGCUUUCGAUACGGGUUGACUUGAGGAAGGUAGGGGAGAAUGGAGUUCCUGGUGGAGCGGUGGAAUGCGCAGAUAUCAGGAGGAACACCAGUGGCGAAGGCGGUUCUCUGGGCCUUUCCUGACGCUGAGGAGCGAAAGCGUGGGGAGCGAACAGGCUUAGAUACCCUGGUAGUCCACGCUGUAAACGGUGGGUACUAGGUGUGGGGUCCAUUCCACGGGUUCCGUGCCGUAGCUAACGCUUUAAGUACCCCGCCUGGGGAGUACGGCCGCAAGGCUAAAACUCAAAGGAAUUGACGGGGCCCCGCACAAGCGGCGGAGCAUGCGGAUUAAUUCGAUGCAACGCGUAGAACCUUACCUGGGUUUGACAUGGAUCGGGAGCGCUCAGAGAUGGGUGUGCCUCUUUUGGGGUCGGUUCACAGGUGGUGCAUGGCUGUCGUCAGCUCGUGUCGUGAGAUGUUGGGUUAAGUCCCGCAACGAGCGCAACCCUUGUUCACUGUUGCCAGCACGUUAUGGUGGGGACUCAGUGGAGACCGCCGGGGUCAACUCGGAGGAAGGUGGGGAUGACGUCAAGUCAUCAUGCCCCUUAUGUCCAGGGCUUCACGCAUGCUACAAUGGCUGGUACAGAGAGUGGCGAGCCUGUGAGGGUGAGCGAAUCUCGGAAAGCCGGUCUCAGUUCGGAUUGGGGUCUGCAACUCGACCUCAUGAAGUCGGAGUCGCUAGUAAUCGCAGAUCAGCAACGCUGCGGUGAAUACGUUCCCGGGGCU
Molecule: ribosomal RNA, 1346 nt
Filed under: uncultured bacterium
Lineage: Bacteria
Description: bacterial SSU rRNA
Rfam family: Bacterial small subunit ribosomal RNA
Source: RNAcentral